GUUUUAAUAGCAUCUCAAUUGGAGGGCAAAAUAGAUUUGUGCUUCGCCGGAACCCUAAUUUGCUUCUCCGAUCACUCUGUCAGAUUGAUUCCCAGGAAAUGAUGCUCUAUCUUAUGCUGGGGGCUAAUUGAUGGAUCCAGACAGCAAGAAGUUUGGAAGAGGGCCAAGAGAGCUUGCAGGUGCGGUGGAUCUUAUUAAUCACUACAAGUUGUUGCCUCAUCACGAGUACUUCUGCAAGAAGCCUCUUCCAUUGUCAAUUUCAGAUACACGCUACCUUCACAAUGUUGUGGGAGACAGAGAGAUUAGGAAAGGGGAAGGGAUGCAGUUGGAUCAGCUUAUACAUGAUACGUCUUUUUUAAAAGAGACAAAUUCACGCAUCCAACCAUUUGAGUUAGAUGCUCUUAAUGAAGCUUUUCAACUACGUGAAGCAGCUCCAAUUGUUCUGCCUCCGUCUGAAAAAGGGAUCCCCACUGUAGCUGGAAAGUCUAAAAGUGAGUCGAAAGACAAGGAGAAGAAGCAUAAAAAGCACAAAGAUAAGGACAAGGAGAAGGACAAAGAGCAU
RNAcentral lists this unclassified non-coding RNA (562 nucleotides) under Hevea brasiliensis (rubber tree). The record is from RNAcentral. Lineage: Eukaryota; Viridiplantae; Streptophyta; Magnoliopsida; Malpighiales; Euphorbiaceae.